RNAcentral lists this transfer RNA (72 nucleotides) under Bos taurus (domestic cattle). It matches the Rfam family "tRNA". From Rfam's summary of the family: Transfer RNA (tRNA) molecules are approximately 80 nucleotides in length. Their secondary structure includes four short double-helical elements and three loops (D, anti-codon, and T loops). Further hydrogen bonds mediate the characteristic L-shaped molecular structure. tRNAs have two regions of fundamental functional importance: the anti-codon, which is responsible for specific mRNA codon recognition, and the 3' end, to which the tRNAs corresponding amino acid is attached (by aminoacyl-tRNA synthetases). tRNAs cope with the degeneracy of the genetic code in two manners: having more than one tRNA (with a specific anti-codon) for a particular amino acid; and 'wobble' base-pairing, i.e. permitting non-standard base-pairing at the 3rd anti-codon position. The record is from Rfam by way of RNAcentral. Lineage: Eukaryota; Metazoa; Chordata; Mammalia; Artiodactyla; Bovidae. RNAcentral also lists the same sequence under 3 other names.
UCCCUGGUGGCUCAGAUAGUAAAGCGUCUGCCUGCAAUGCGGGAGACCUGGGUUCGAUUCCUGGGUGAGGAA